GAGUUUGAUUAUGGCUCAGGAUGAACGCUGACAGAAUGCUUAACACAUGCAAGUCUACUUGAAUUUGGGUUUUUUAACUUCGAUUUGGGUGGCGGACGGGUGAGUAACGCGUAAAGAACUUGCCUCACAGCUAGGGACAACAUUUGGAAACGAAUGCUAAUACCUGAUAUUAUGAUUUUAGGGCAUCCUAGAAUUAUGAAAGCUAUAUGCGCUGUGAGAGAGCUUUGCGUCCCAUUAGCUAGUUGGAGAGGUAACGGCUCACCAAGGCGAUGAUGGGUAGCCGGCCUGAGAGGGUGAUCGGCCACAAGGGGACUGAGACACGGCCCUUACUCCUACGGGAGGCAGCAGUGGGGAAUAUUGGACAAUGGACCAAGAGUCUGAUCCAGCAAUUCUGUGUGCACGAUGAAGUUUUUCGGAAUGUAAAGUGCUUUCAGUUGGGAAGAAAAAAAUGAC
RNAcentral lists this ribosomal RNA (453 nucleotides) under Fusobacterium canifelinum. Its description in RNAcentral is "bacterial SSU rRNA". It matches the Rfam family "Bacterial small subunit ribosomal RNA", at positions 9 to 458 of the family's 1533-position model. Lineage: Bacteria; Fusobacteriati; Fusobacteriota; Fusobacteriia; Fusobacteriales; Fusobacteriaceae. The record is from RNAcentral.